This 74-nucleotide transfer RNA is filed under the name Porphyromonas pasteri. RNAcentral describes it as "tRNA-Arg". It matches the Rfam family "tRNA". Rfam says of the family: Transfer RNA (tRNA) molecules are approximately 80 nucleotides in length. Their secondary structure includes four short double-helical elements and three loops (D, anti-codon, and T loops). Further hydrogen bonds mediate the characteristic L-shaped molecular structure. tRNAs have two regions of fundamental functional importance: the anti-codon, which is responsible for specific mRNA codon recognition, and the 3' end, to which the tRNAs corresponding amino acid is attached (by aminoacyl-tRNA synthetases). tRNAs cope with the degeneracy of the genetic code in two manners: having more than one tRNA (with a specific anti-codon) for a particular amino acid; and 'wobble' base-pairing, i.e. permitting non-standard base-pairing at the 3rd anti-codon position. Lineage: Bacteria; Pseudomonadati; Bacteroidota; Bacteroidia; Bacteroidales; Porphyromonadaceae. RNAcentral also lists the same sequence under 2 other names. The record is from RNAcentral.
GGCUCAGUAGCUUAGUUGAAUAGAGCGUCAGAUUCCGGUUCUGAAGGUCGAGGGUUUGAGUCCCUCCUGAGUCA